Molecule: non-coding RNA, 69 nt
Filed under: Hemiselmis andersenii
Lineage: Eukaryota; Cryptophyceae; Cryptomonadales; Hemiselmidaceae
Source: RNAcentral
CGAGCAGCAUGAGCGUGAACAGCGCGCCCUCGCGGAGCAGCAGCGUGUUGCAGAGGCGGAGCGACUGUU